Long non-coding RNA from Poeciliopsis prolifica (blackstripe livebearer), 2705 nucleotides. RefSeq lists it as uncharacterized. The transcript is spliced from 6 exons. NCBI's taxonomy places the organism in Eukaryota, Metazoa, Chordata, Actinopteri, Cyprinodontiformes, Poeciliidae. The record is from RefSeq and is a predicted model, not a curated record.
GAGGGUCCUGCAGUAUCUUGGCUGUGCCAAGGACUGCACAUUUCUGGACUGAGAUGUCUGAUGUUGUUCCUGGGAUCUGUUGUAGCCACUGCUCCAGUUUGGGGGUUACUGCCCCGAGGGCCCCGAUGACCACAGGCACCACUGUCAAUGAAAGCCAUGGAAACGACGUUAGCGUUGGCAACCCUAUAAAAAGCCCUGACCUUCAGAAUUCUUUCCCUUUUCGACGGGACUGAAAGAGAGAGACGCCUGAAGGAGAAUUAAAAGCCUCAGAAGGUUUGAGCUGGUUGAAAAGUCUGCUUAGCAAAACUUGCUGAAGAAGCCUGUGGUUAACAAACCUGCGAAAGACGGUUCCUGGCCAGGAGAAGCUCCAGCUGGGUGACCAGCCGGAAGCUCAUGCGAUGGCGCUUCCAGCAGGUGGAUCCCCAGUGUUGCAGGGACAUCCAGAGAAUGCUAAGGAUCACGGUAAGGUAUGGUUAAAUGUUUUCCCACAGAAACCAGACGACAUGAAUUCUGAUUAUCAGGGAGAGGAGUUGAGGUGUCAUUCACCUCUACAGCCUGUGGACUGUACUCCCGACUCCAGCGACGACAAGGUAGGUGAUGAUGACUGUACUAGCAGCUCCAGUAAAGAGGAGUUUGGUCAUGAAUACCAGGGUGACUUUAAAUCCCGACUUAGGGUUGUCCAGGUCCUUGGACCAAACAUUAAAUUCCUGUGGGGCGUAGGAGUGCUUGAAGAGUCAUUCAAACAUCUGAAAAAGACAGUUGAUGAACUGAGCUCCGGUGACAGUAGCCCGACAAUGAACCGUGCCAAAGCUGCGUCACGGCUGCUUGAGAUUCUUCCCCCAAAUUUCAAAUACAUAAAAGACAUCGGGGUGGCUCAGAAGCCUCAGGAAGACACGGCUCUCUCUACUUCACUUGAACUUGCAUGUGGACUUGACAAACGGGAGGCGGAUGCUGCGAAGGAGGACGACUCAUCAUUUAAGCUUAGUUUUGGUACCGUGCUUCCUUCCAGUUUUAAAUUCUCACCUGGACUUGACAAACCCAAAGAGCUCAUUUUGUCCCCUGAUGACUCCAGACCCAUCAGUUCCUCACAUCAUCAAGUAGUUUUGGAAAAGAGCAUGGCCCACGUGACAUCUGUGACAGACAAAAACAGAAAGAGGACAAAAGACAGUGUUACUGAAGAGGAGCUCCCUGCCAAGAGGACCAGGAAAUGUGAUGAUGAAAAGGAACACCCUGCCAUACCGUCCACUCUGGAAUAGGCCCUUGAAAGCAUCAACAGAAGAUUGGCAUGGAGAUAUGUCUUGAUAGCCAUAAAGAUCUCGUUCUGUUAUCCCCUCUCCUCAGCUCCUUCUGUAGGAACCUCCUCUUGUUUUUAUUAAAGCCAAUGGCUUUCCUAAUAGUCACAAGGUGCGCUGCAAUAUAGUAAAUUAUUCUCACCUGUUCCUCCACUAAUCCACUCUCCUAGUUUUCAUCUUUCAGGUGUUAGAUGCUCAUCGCUGGAUUCUUUCGUCAUUGUCCAUGUGGUUCCUGUCUUUCUGGUUCCCUUGUUUUUCACACUGCUUGCUGUGCUGAUGGAAGGAGGAUCAGGCAUAAAGCAGAGGACCUGCUGAUAUCAUAAAUGAGUACUGGACCAAUCAGAAGAGAGACGACACAGAGGACUGAGAAGACACGGAAAAUCCUGCUGGGAAUCCAGAGAUUUGACAGGAGGACACCGGAGGACGGGACGCAGAACAAAGAGACAGAUCAUCUGACGUGGAUCCUCAUCAAUCUGUAAACCUCCAGCUUCAUCACCACCAGUCAAGUGGAGGAAGACAAGAGAGCCCUGUUGACGACAAAAAAACAACUCAUGCUGGUCAACUCCUUGACCUGAGUUGACCAUCAAUUGAAGCAGAAGGCCUUUUCCACCUGCUGAUCUACUGGUUGAUUAAAAGAUUGUGGAAAGGACAAAAAAAGAGAUGGCUCUCUCCCGGACAUCCUGAUGUUUGAACACACCGCCUCCGCCUGGAAUUCUGCCACCACCCAAACUGAGUUUGCAGGCCACAUCUGGCUUUUCUGUCAGUAGCACCUGGUUAAACGCGAUCAAAACGCCGAUGUUCCAGACAUACAAUCAGUUCAAAAGACAUGGACUUUGGGAUACAAAACUUCCCUGGAUUUUGACUUUCUUAAUGUAUUUUUGAGUUUGGAUAAUUUCUUGUUUUUGUAUUUAAUUCGACUGUGGCGCUGUUGGUCCGCCUAUAAAUAGACUGGAUUUUGACAUGUGUGUGAAGUAGAUCUGCCCUUUCUCGUUUUUACAUCCAGCUGGGGUGCGAGUACAUAACCAGUGGCUGUAGGGCGCAGUUGACUUCUCCAGCCUGCCAUGCAGUAGUUUUUGAUAGACUUUGCUUGUUUGCUUUUUUAUUGAGAUUUUGGCCUGGUGGGGCUGGUUGUCCUAUUUUCGUUUCUUUCUUUUGCAGUAGGUUCUUUUUUUCUUUCUUUUUGCUGUAGUCCGGUACUAGCAAGGGCUUCGACGGCCCUAUUUGGGGUUGGCCCCCUGCUGUACCUUCUUGUUCUGUCUGACCGGCUCACCAUGUCCAUCUUUCUGUUAAUAUUAUUUUUAUUUUUUUAUUUUUAUUUUUCUUGGACACGGGGACUGAGGGUAUUUGAUUAUUUAUUUAACCGAAAGAAAUUUCCUGGAGAGUUUUUGAAUAAAUAGAAUAUUUGAAUCCUCA